CACGGACGGGGCGAGCGUUAUCCGUAAGUAUUGGGCGUAAAGAGUUUGUAGGCUGUUUUUUUAAAGACGAACUUAAACCAAGUGAAGGUUCAGACCUGAUCAGGUCUGAACCUUCACUUGUUGGAGAUCUACUACAGGAUCAAAGUACUCUUGAUGAAGGGGUAGAAUCCAUAGAGAUCAACGGGGACUACCACCGGCAAAGGCAUUGAGUCCGUGCAGAUCUGACGCUGAAGAACGAAAGCUUAGGGAGCAAACAGG
RNAcentral lists this ribosomal RNA (258 nucleotides) under uncultured organism. RNAcentral's name for it is "partial 16S ribosomal RNA". It matches the Rfam family "Bacterial small subunit ribosomal RNA", at positions 524 to 776 of the family's 1533-position model. The record is from RNAcentral.